CCUACGGGCGGCAGCAGUGAGGAAUAUUGGUCAAUGGACGCAAGUCUGAACCAGCCAUGCCGCGUGCAGGAUGACGGCUCUAUGAGUUGUAAACUGCUUUUGUACGAGGGUAAACCCCGAUACGUGUAUCGUGUUGAAAGUAUCGUACGAAUAAGGAUCGGCUAACUCCGUGCCAGCAGCCGCGGUAAUACGGAGGAUCCGAGCGUUAUCCGGAUUUAUUGGGUUUAAAGGGUGCGUAGGCGGUUUGAUAAGUUAGAGGUGAAAUGUCGGGGCUCAACCCCGAAACUGCCUCUAAUACUGUUGGACUAGAGAAUAGUUGCGGUAGGCGGAAUGUAUGGUGUAGCGGUGAAAUGCUUAGAGAUCAUACAGAACACCGAUUGCGAAGGCAGCUUACCAAACUAUAUCUGACGUUGAGGCACGAAAGCGUGGGUAACAAACAGGAUUAGAUACCCCAGUAGUC
Molecule: ribosomal RNA, 460 nt
Filed under: uncultured bacterium
Lineage: Bacteria
Description: partial 16S ribosomal RNA
Rfam family: Bacterial small subunit ribosomal RNA
Source: RNAcentral